RNAcentral lists this ribosomal RNA (273 nucleotides) under uncultured bacterium. RNAcentral's name for it is "partial 16S ribosomal RNA". It matches the Rfam family "Bacterial small subunit ribosomal RNA", at positions 524 to 796 of the family's 1533-position model. The record is from RNAcentral.
UACGGAGGGUGCAAGCGUUGUCCGGAUUUAUUGGGUUUAAAGGGUGCGUAGGCGGCCGAUUAAGUCAGCGGUGAAAGUCUGUGGCUCAACCAUAGAAGCGCCGUUGAUACUGGUUGGCUUGAGUGCCGUAUGGGUACAUGGAAUUGAUGGUGUAGCGGUGAAAUGCAUAGAUACCAUCAGGAACACCGAUAGCGUAGGCAUUGUACUGUGCGGCAACUGACGCUGAGGCACGAAAGCAUGGGUAGCGAACAGGAUUAGAUACCCCCGUAGUCC